Periophthalmus magnuspinnatus is the source of this 292-nucleotide long non-coding RNA. RefSeq lists it as uncharacterized. Lineage: Eukaryota; Metazoa; Chordata; Actinopteri; Gobiiformes; Gobiidae. The record is from RefSeq and is a predicted model, not a curated record. The transcript is spliced from 4 exons.
UGUCAAGCCUAAUUUAACUCAUGCUUACUGCAGGAUUGUAUGGUUGCUUGGUCUACCCUGUGACCGUGUGGCUUAUGCUAUUGUGACUCAAAUUAAAGCAAUGGGCUCAUACAAGCUCUUGAGCCCAGCGGUUCCGGGUUUGAUCCAGGCCAAUCACACCUCUGGGUCUGGACAGUUUGAGAGCGUUAACUUUACCAUCAUUGGAACAUCCAUGGGGAUGGGCUGCCAUGUUGAAGGUUCGUCCAUGUCCUCUUUCUGGUACAGCCUCUUUGAUAAUGGAACCAACUACUGC